Molecule: long non-coding RNA, 845 nt
Organism: Mya arenaria
Lineage: Eukaryota; Metazoa; Mollusca; Bivalvia; Myida; Myidae
Exons: 5
Source: RefSeq, a predicted model, not a curated record
UUUCACUGACAAAUUACUGCAAUGCCCCAAGAAGUUUCCGCCCGAAGGCCGAAACGGCGAUUUCGACAAUGGUUACUGAUUUUAAUUAAAUAAAUAAAUUAAAUAAAGUUUGCUGAUAAUAAUUGGAUUUAUUUUAUUUGAACUUAAGAAGUGUUGUUCAGCCUGAAUGAACAUAAAUGGUCGCUGGAAGAAUGUGUCCGUAUUUUUCUGGAGCCAGUGAAGUUGCACAAUCACACCGUCAAGUACAACAGGAUACGGACAAAAAACUGUUCCUGUGCCCAAUCACUCCAUCAAGUGGACCAGGAUACGGACAAAACAGCUCCUAGAAAAUCGACGCAUGGGUGUGUGUCCUUGGGUCUUGUUACAGAAUCAACGACACAACAGCAGUUAGAUGGAUGGAGCCUGGAUCGCUAAAAUUGCCGACUCGGUCAUGCACAUCGAGAGCGCGAACAGCAAAGUGGUACUUGUUCCCAACCUGAAACUGGAUUUGAACCAGCCCAAUUGCCAUUUGAACCGUCCAUUUUGGCCGGCAACCUGUUCUUCUUGAGAACACUGAAUGCAUAGAGUCAACAAACACAGCAGAUCCUGAGUAUAGGUUUUGGAGGUGCUCUCUUGAACCCCGCAGUCGGUUGGUUGGCGGGUAACAUUGGGAACGGUGCUGGAUGAACCUUGGGCUCGGGCUGGAGGAAAACGUCAGAUAUUAGAAAUAAUGAGGGGCUGCCGUCACCAUGCCUGGUCUUGUUCCCGGAGGAGAUGUCAUUACUAACUGGUACGUAGGUGGAGACCCUAGUCCUUGUGAAAGAAAUUGUGUCCCCAUGGAAACCUGAGGCGUAAGCACCUGUCGC